This 74-nucleotide transfer RNA is filed under the name Trichonephila inaurata madagascariensis. It matches the Rfam family "tRNA". Rfam says of the family: Transfer RNA (tRNA) molecules are approximately 80 nucleotides in length. The record is from Rfam by way of RNAcentral. Lineage: Eukaryota; Metazoa; Arthropoda; Arachnida; Araneae; Nephilidae.
GGUUCCGUAGUGUAGUGGUUAUCACGUUCGCUUCACACGCGAAAGGUCUCCGCUUCGGGAUCCCGACAGAACCA